Molecule: unclassified non-coding RNA, 324 nt
Filed under: Hevea brasiliensis (rubber tree)
Lineage: Eukaryota; Viridiplantae; Streptophyta; Magnoliopsida; Malpighiales; Euphorbiaceae
Source: RNAcentral
AUUUGCUUGUCUCCGAAAACCAUAAUCGUCUCAGGAAACUCAUAACCUAGCAACCAAAUAUUUAAAGCUGAGGAUUUCAAGUAUCUCAGGUCCUCCGAAGGUGGCGGUGUAGCUAUAGCAAGGACAUCAGAAGAGGCCCAAAGGUCAUCCUUAUGUUUGUGCCAGUGUGAAUACAAGGCCUUCAGUCGCUUACUGAAUGUAUUCAAGUCAAUUGUAUAAGCAUUUCCACCUGCUGAAUUCCCAUUUGAAGGUGCUCCAUUUCCAGUUCUCUCUUGCACCAUGGCCGUGUCAACAAUUCUUGACUAACCUUGUUCGAUGAGAAAG